Molecule: ribosomal RNA, 460 nt
Filed under: uncultured bacterium
Lineage: Bacteria
Description: partial 16S ribosomal RNA
Rfam family: Bacterial small subunit ribosomal RNA
Source: RNAcentral
CCUACGGGAGGCAGCAGUGAGGAAUAUUGGUCAAUGGGCGCGAGCCUGAACCAGCCAAGUAGCGUGAAGGAUGACUGCCCUACGGGUUGUAAACUUCUUUUAUAAAGGAAUAAAGUGAGGCACGUGUGCCUUUUUGAAUGUACUUUAUGAAUAAGGCUCGGCUAACUCCUUGCCAGCAGCCGCGGUAAUACGGAGGAUCCGAGCGUUAUCCGGAUUUAUUGGGUUUAAAGGGAGCGUCGAUGGUUUUUUAAGUCAGUUGUGAAAGUUUGCGGCUCAACCGUAAAAGUGCAAUUGAUACUGGCAGUCUUGAGUACAGUUGAGGUAGGCGGAAUGCGUGGUGUAGCGGUGAAAUGCUUAGAUAUCACGAAGAACUGCGAUUGCGAAGGCAGCUUACUAAACUGCCACUGACAUUGAUGCUCGAAAGUGUGGGUAUCAAACAGGAUUAGAUACCCUAGUAGUC